CUCAUAUAAAAACCACAAUUGGUGAUGAUGGUGUGCCUGCCAACUUUGAUUCACAAUCGUUCGAUUCAUAUCCAACGUCCAGGAAGCAACCCAUGGCAAUUUUACAAAGACACCCACUAUUCUGUUACAUAUUUGCAAAUAUGCCCUUGUCUCUCUCUUCAAGCCUAUCCCCCUGGCGCUCUCCCCCAACCUCAUCCAACCAGUAGCACCGGCAGCGUCGGAGCCGAUAUGGCGUGGUGGCCGCCAGCGGUGCCGUCCGCCUCGGAGCCUCUCAUGCCUCCCUCAACUCCACCGGCCACCACAACCCCCCCCCCCCCCCCGCCCCCCUUCUCCAUCUCCUCCGUUGCCGACAUCUGCAGGCACACCGGCGGCGCCGUCCCUCCGCAGGCGCCUCUCCCGCCUCCUUCUCUUCCAGAGAAGUGCCGCCGCACAGCAGCACCACCACUUCCCCUUCCUCCUUGCCAUCGCCUCCGCCCCCUCCUCCGUAUCCUCCCACGCCGGCCUCGGCAGGCACGCCGGCGGCGCCGUCCCUUCGCCGGCGCAUCUGACUCCAUUGCCAGCUCAGGGCCCCCACCCAGCAUCACCACCACCUCUUCCUCCUCUUCCCCAUCCCCUCCGCCUCCUCCCCGAUGCUGAACUCCGCAAGUACGCCGGCGGCGCCGUCCGUGCCCCGAGGCUUCUUCUGGCUCCUCCCCCCUACUGCAGAAGCCCGCUCGCCCACCCCCCGCCCCCUCUCCUCAUCGCCGUCUUCUCCGCUCUCCCCCUUCUCUAAACUCUGACCUCCACAAAUACGUCGCCGGCUACAGGCUGCUGAUCCUCGGCGGCGGCGGCACCGCCACCUAAUGCUACUUCUCCUCCCCGCCGACGCACUCCACUGCCUGUUCUGGUGCUAUGGUCGGCUACCGCCUCUCUUUCCCAGACCUCAUCGUUCCCACCCUGCCGCCUCCCAAAUUCAAAUUUUUGUCACCCAAAUGCGCGCGCCUGGUCGAACUGUCUAGAAACCACCCUUUCAGCCCAAUAUAAAUACAAGUGAGCAGGCAGAUGAGACUCACACUGCUCGAACUACAUCCCAAGAAGCAACACGGUGGUCAAGCUCUCAUAUCUUCAAAUCGUCAGAUUGUGAGGAGGUCGAUUUACUGCCCAUCGCCUUCUAAUUUGCUUCGCCAAGGACCAAGGUCCAGAAGAAAUUUGAUAAGCCUAGAAGUUCCUGGAGAAACACUUGGAUUUGGGUGUGAAGCUGAAAAUUAAAAGCUAUUACACCCCAAAUGUUACAGCUCUCGUGCCAACAAAGUGCUAAAGGAAAACAAAAAGUGGUCGACAGCAGUAGCAAGCCCAACAGAACUUGCUCCAAUGGCAUGCCAUGUGCUCGAACAGGUUUAUUUAUACGUGAACCAACGGAUGCGACAAAUUUAAGUUACUCAUCUUCAGAUGAUGAAGUGACAAACCAAUCAGCGACGGUGAUUUUUCCUACUUAUACUGGUAUGCUCACAUCAAUCGACGGAUUGGAGCGAGGAGAAAGCUCAAAAGGGCGAAAGCAUGCACGUGAAGCAAUAAGAUAUGCUAGCCGUACACCAGAGCAAAUCCAAGCAAGGCGAGAACGUGUUAGAGCACGUCGGCAAAAUUUGACACCUAAGGAGAAGGAAGAGAUUAAUGCACGAAGAAGAGAGAAACGACAACGUAUGACACUUGAAGAGAGAAAUGCAAGCUAGCGAGCACGUAGGCAAAGUUUGACACUAGAGGAGAGGCAAGAAAGAAAUGCACGCCAACGAGCGCGUCGGCAAAGCCUGCCACCGGAAGAGCGGCGGGCACUUCUAGCUCAACGUAGUGCAAGUUAUGCAUCUAGACGAGAUACCCCAUGCAUGGAUUCCAUUGUAUCAAAUUGCCCUACAGGUUCAUUGCUGGGACAUGCAUCAUCAAGCUCUUAUGCCUUUAGUUACCCAAGCACACUGACUCAAACUUUUUCUACAAUUCAAGGUAAUCUAGAAAGCAUACCUGAAGGAAUGGAAGAUGAUCACAUAGUUUUCACUAGCAAAGGUGACGCUAAUACUGUCCAGUGCAAGGAACUCACAUCGGUGCAAUGUCCAACAUCUACAUCAUUGGACAGUUCAUCAUUGGCCCCUGAUGACUCCAUAUGCCCAGGUUCCCCAACGGAAAGCUUUAAUGUGGAUGAUGAUUUUUCUCAUAUGACCGAAGAAGAAGAUGAUGAGUACUUCGCAUUUGCUGGGAGAGGGAACACUGAAGAUUGCGAUGACAUGGUAGAUGCUUUUACAACAGACAACAUUGUUCCUGACCCAUAUGACUGUGUUUACCAGAAUAUACCAAAAAGUACUCACACGCUGGUGCCAAAGCCUGAUUGCAAGCAUUGCGGUGCAAAGAGGUUCCAGUAUGAGACAAAUGGAUUUUGUUGCCAGUCUGGAAAAAUCAAGUUAGCACAGUCAGAACCACCCUUGGAACUUCAGAUGUUGUACACAAGUUCAGAUAGUGAUGCUGUACAUUUUAGGGAUAACAUUCGCUACUUCAAUGGCCACUUUUCAUUCACCACUCUUGGAGUCAGUCUUGACAAUAGAUACACAAACAUGAGGUCAGGAGUCUAUACAUUCCGAGCCCAUGGUCAGAUUUACCACAACAUCUUCUCAUUUGGUCCAACACAAGAUGGACCUAAGCAUCUAGAGUUAUACUUCUACGAUGAUGACCCGAGUCUACAACAUAGGUUUCGGCGCUCCCCGAACCUAGACCGAGAUGUCAUUUGAAGGCUUGUCAACAUCCUUAAGGAUAAUCCUUAUUCUGAAACAUUCAGGAAUCUAGGUGGAGUCGAUGACCUUGAGGAUUAUCGUAUUGAACUGAACACCGACAUGAGGUUGGACCAACGGAGAUAUAACUUGCCUAUAUCAUCAGAGGUUGCAGCUAUUUGGGUUGAGGGUAAUGAACUAUGUAAGCAUUUUGACCGUAGCAUUGUCCUGUUUGGUAAUGACAACAAGAGAUAUAGCAUCCAACCAUAUUAUGGAUGCUAUGAUCCAUUGUCUUACCCUUUGUUCUUCCCAAGAGGGGAGAUUGGUUGGCAUCCUGAGAUCCCAAAGAACGGUGUCAGCUUGAAUGAGAUACUUCAAUCCCGCCGCAGUGGUCGAAAGAAACCAGGUACAUGUACAAGUAGUCGAUUAUGUGUCUCGGUCAGAGACUACUAUUGUUACAAGUUUCAAAUACGUCGUGGUGUAUUUAACACCAUGCUAUACGGUAAACGACUGUUCCAACAAUAUGUGGUCGACAUGUACAUCAAGGUUGAAACCUCUAGGUUAGACUAUAUAAGAAAUCACCAGAAACAAAUACGCUCUGAUCUAUACCAAGGUGUUGUUGAUAGCCUUCAAGCUGGGGAAAACCGUGCGGAUGCUGUGGGCAAAUGGAUUGUACUUCCUACAUCAUUUAUUGGGGGAAGAAGAGAUAGGAGACGAAGAUACCUUGAUGCCAU
This is a non-coding RNA of Triticum urartu, 3463 nucleotides long. The record is from RefSeq and is a predicted model, not a curated record. Lineage: Eukaryota; Viridiplantae; Streptophyta; Magnoliopsida; Poales; Poaceae.